CUCGGCGACCAUAGCGCGGGGGAUCACCCGAUCCCAUUCCGAACUCGGUAGUUAAGCCCCGCAGCGCCGAUGGUACUGCCCUGGAAACGGUGUGGGAGAGUAGGUCGUCGCCGGAG
RNAcentral lists this ribosomal RNA (116 nucleotides) under Fidelibacterota bacterium. Lineage: Bacteria; Pseudomonadati; Fidelibacterota. The record is from RNAcentral.